RNAcentral lists this long non-coding RNA (414 nucleotides) under Equus asinus (donkey). RNAcentral's name for it is "lncRNA (ENSEASG00005027036.1)". Lineage: Eukaryota; Metazoa; Chordata; Mammalia; Perissodactyla; Equidae. The record is from RNAcentral.
CGAGGACAGUGACCUGGCCCGGACAGGGCCGAAGAAGUCCCCGGCCCUUGUGCCCCGCCGCCCCGGACCAGGGACUCCGCGGCGACCCCCCUGCCCGCCCCGCGCCCGAGCCCAGGACCGGGGCAGGGAAAGAAGCGGGCGCCACGCGCGGGCAACUUGGAGACUUACCUUCCCGGAUGCGCUACACCAUCAAUGGAGGAGAGAAAACGAGGCAGAGACGGUGUGGGAGCCCCCCAGCACAUAGUUGUAGAUUCUAGUUGUGAGUGCCUCUGGUUCUGCUUUGUGGGACGCCGCCUCAGCAUGGCCUGAGGAGUGGUGCCAUGUCCUCGCCCGGGAUCUGAACCGACGAAACCCCUGGGCCGCUGAAGCCAAGCCUGCGAACCCAACCACCUGGCCAUGGAGCCGGCCCCUGCC